GGAGCCCGCGGCCCGCGAAUGCCGGGUCGGGGUGCUCAAUGGCGGAGACACUGGCGAGUUUUUUCCUGGCAACGGCCGGGUUCCUUCUAGUACGGCCAUCCUCGUGGUGGUGUGGAACGGAGACCUGGUGCGGCUGGGGAGGGAUGUAGAGCACCCUGUUGGGUCCUGAAAGAACAACCGUGGGUUGUCUUUCAGAGCCGUGAGCGGAACGGAUUGUUUCGCCGGCGCCAGGCACGGCCUGGUGUGGCAUACCGUCAAGAUUGUUGUCUUGGGCUGGUGUCACGCUGUGGGUUGUGGGUUGGU
RNAcentral lists this unclassified non-coding RNA (303 nucleotides) under Micromonospora sp. RNAcentral's name for it is "partial 16S-23S ribosomal RNA intergenic spacer". Lineage: Bacteria; Bacillati; Actinomycetota; Actinomycetes; Micromonosporales; Micromonosporaceae. The record is from RNAcentral.